GUCGAGGGGCAGCGGGAUUGAAGCUUGCUUCAAUUGCCGGCGACCGGCGCACGGGUGAGUAACGCGUAUCCAACCUUCCGUACACUCAGGGAUAGCCUUUCGAAAGAAAGAUUAAUACCUGAUGGUAUGAUGAGAUUGCAUGAUAGCAUCAUUAAAGAUUUAUCGGUGUACGAUGGGGAUGCGUUCCAUUAGGUAGUAGGCGGGGUAACGGCCCACCUAGCCGACGAUGGAUAGGGGUUCUGAGAGGAAGGUCCCCCACAUUGGAACUGAGACACGGUCCAAACUCCUACGGGAGGCAGCAGUGAGGAAUACUGGUCAAUGGACGAGAGUCUGAACCAGCCAAGUAGCGUGAAGGAUGAAGGUCCUACGGAUUGUAAACUUCUUUUAUAAGGGAAUAAAACCUCCCACGUGUGGGAACUUGUAUGUACCUUAUGAAUAAGCAUCGGCUAACUCCGUGCCAGCAGCCGCGGUAAUACGGAGGAUGCGAGCGUUAUCCGGAUUUAUUGGGUUUAAAGGGAGCGCAGACGGGUCGUUAAGUCAGCUGUGAAAGUUUGGGGCUCAACCUUAAAAUUGCAGUUGAUACUGGCGUCCUUGAGUGCGGUUGAGGUGUGCGGAAUUCGUGGUGUAGCGGUGAAAUGCUUAGAUAUCACGAAGAACUCCGAUUGCGAAGGCAGCACACUAAGCCGUAACUGACGUUCAUGCUCGAAAGUGUGGGUAUCAAACAGGAUUAGAUACCCUGGUAGUCCACACGGUAAACGAUGGAUACUCGCUGUUGGCGAUAUACAGUCAGCGGCUUAGCGAA
RNAcentral lists this ribosomal RNA (802 nucleotides) under uncultured bacterium. Its description in RNAcentral is "bacterial SSU rRNA". It matches the Rfam family "Bacterial small subunit ribosomal RNA", at positions 61 to 855 of the family's 1533-position model. The record is from RNAcentral.